Molecule: regulatory RNA element, 114 nt
Organism: Paenibacillaceae bacterium GAS479
Lineage: Bacteria; Bacillati; Bacillota; Bacilli; Caryophanales; Paenibacillaceae
Rfam family: epsC RNA
Source: Rfam
AGGUAAUGCCUGCUGCACCUUUAUCACCGUAGGCACUCGGUUGUAUUGUGGGUUCGUAAGGGACCUUAGACGUGAAUCGUCGAUGAUGCAGCGUGAGGUGGGGUUGGAUGCCCU